UUGAGGAAGUUGAAAAAAGCAAAGGUCGUGAGCCACAGGAAGAAAGGAGGAAAGAAAAUCCCUCUGACUGUGUGCUUAACUCCUCUUCUACCAAGAUGCACUCGCCAGCUGAGACGAUUAACACCAAAAAUAAAUAAAUGGGAAUCACAAUCUCUCAGUCUAAUCAGCAACUUAUCCGAUUUCUUUAAAUAAAAGGGGGGGGGGAUUUUGUGUUUGCCCGAAUUCACAAGGAAAUAAGCUCAAUUUAUCAGAGUUAAAGAGCUGUUCUGCUCAUUAGAGAUUGAGAUAAAAAUCAAACCAAGAAGUCAGAACUUACUUUACAUCCUUUUUAGAAAAAAAGGAGGGGUGGGGGUUGGCGAUUCAGUGGUAGAAUACUUAAGUUGAAUGUGUGAAGUACUAGAUUAGUUUUUAACACUGCUUUCCUAAACUAUCAAACAGAUAGUACAUGGUUAACUAUAAGAUACAUGCUAAGAGCGUAGAGUAUAAGGUAUACAUUGUGGUUUAAUACAUGAUAAACAUGCAAUACACAUUCUGCUCAUUUUAUUGUGAAUCUGUGCAUGCCACACUUCUCCAGCACUGUGGCUAUAGAACAAAGUGGGUAGGAAAUGCUUUUGGGAUAAGGAAGACAAAUACAGGCAAUGGAAUCAGAAGGUUGGUAUAGCAAGGAACAAAUGGGAUGGGAAAAAGUUAGAAGAUUUGAAUUUGAGAUAUAGCUAACCACUCAUCCUGUAAUUACAGAAAAUCAUUAAGUCAUCUUAAGGCUCCAUGCUUCACACCUGCAAAACUGGAGGUUUAUUGUGAGGCGUUAAAUGAGCAAAUAUGCAUACAUGUCUGUAGAUAUGCACCUGACAAUUAUAAGUACUAAUUAUCAUUAUUGAUAAAAAGGCAUGCUGCGGUAUAGGCUGAUUUGUGCCUCCUUAUGUGUGUUAGACUUUAUGGGUGUUUAUAGUUCCCCAAAUGAGUUAAUAUGAAGAAAAAUGUUAAGCAAAUCAUAGUACGGAUGGAGAAAAGAUAGAAAUAGCAUGGCGAAGCCUUCCAUUUGGGGGAAUCUCUCUAGAUUUAAAUUUUUCUUAGUAGAAAGGGGAGAAGGAAUAGAAACAAAAUUCCCAUUGGUUUCUUAUUAAUGAAAGUAUUAUUUAAUGUAUAAUCUAUCUAUCUAUCUAUCUAACUAUCUAUCUAUCUAUCUAUCUAUCUUCAUCAUCAUCUAUCUGUCAUCUAUCUAUCUAUCUAUCUAUCCACCCACCACCUAUUACUCAUAAAUUUAUCUGUAGGUAUGCAUUUUGAGAGAGGUCUUUGCAUAUCCAGGCUGGUUUAGAACUUUUAUAUGUUGCUGAGGAAGAUCUUGAAUUUCUGAUCCUCCUGACUCCACCUCCUAAGUUAGAAGGUAUACACCAUCACCCUCUGUGUAUGUGGUUCUGAGGAUCAAACCCAGGGCUUUGUGCGUGCUGGAUAUUCUACCAACUGAGCUACACCUUUGAGCCUUAAAACAGAUAUUGUCUAAGCAGGUGUCUACCUAGUAAAUUGUAGGUAAAUGAAUUGCUUUUAUUUAAUUCUAACAUUAAAUCUAAAAUGAAGGUACUUAUAAGGCUUCCUUGUGUGUCAUGAUAAAGAACAUUUUUAGUGAAGUACUAUUUCCCAAUCCAGAUCUCUAAGUUCUAGCUGGAGGGACUUGGUGUGUUGAAACAACUGAAAAUGCAGCUCAAGACUUUCCAAAAUGUUCCUCUGGACCCAUGUGCUCUGUGGGUGAAGGUUACUCCACUAAGGGAGUGCCUUGGCAGUACUCUAGAGGCCCACUCAUAUGGCCACAAGAUACCUUAGCGGUGUCAUGUAUGCUAAUGUCUUCAUCUUAGUGAUGGGGAAGAACCAGAGAAUGGUGAUAAUUGGUGCCUGUAUACAUUACAGAUCCAGGACUGUUUUUGACCCCAGUGUCCAAGUUCAGAACUUUUCCUAAUCCCUAAAUGAAAGUACUUCAUGUCCAUCCUGAGUCACAUUUAUUUAACCCACUUUUAUUGAGGUGUUUAAGUGUACUAGUGCUAGUGGGAAUAUUGAGUAAAACACAGCUGGUAGCCAUAGAAAGCAUUAACUUUUCAGGACAAGGGUUGAGACAGAGGCCUUGGAUGUGAGUCUACUUUUAUGAGUGUUGCUUAUUUAAUCUUCCUCCUGGGGACGGAUUCUGUAUUUAUGAUAAUAUUUUAAUAUUUUGCAUUGAUCACUAUAAGCCCAGCCCACAAAACAUGUGUUUAUAAGGAAAAUAAUAUCAGUGCUGACAUGUGUUACUUUGGGGGACCUGAAAGCAGGCUAUUGUUUAAAAUGCUGGUCACCUUUGUUUUAGAAAGCAUCUACUUUCCAGUUGGUAGUCAAUUAUAUUAUUGGUAAAAAAUUGUUCUUUAAACCAUAGAUCACUUUGGCAUUUAGAAAUCAGGCUGCAGAAAUGUAGAGAAACAUCCUAGCUAUGACCACUCUCCUAACACCACAACACUAAGUCUCACAGGAUCAAAAGUCCAUCUCAGAAUUUUAAAGUUUUUCUUUUUGAAUAUUCCAUUUUAUUUUUGAGUUAGGCUCUUGUAAAAUCCAAACUGGUCUUAGAACACACACACACACACACACACACACACACACACACACACACACACAUAUAUCUGGAGAUGAUCUUAAAAAUUUGGUCCUCUGCCUACACCUCCAAGAUGUCUGGAUUGCAGUGGGUGCUACCAUACCUGGUUUUGAAUUACAUAGGCACAGAACUCAGGGUUUUAGGCAAGAACUCUAACAACUGAACUACAGCCCUGCAAAAUACAAUUUUUGAUUUUGGAUUUUUUUCAGAUAGAUUCUCACAGUAGCCCAGGCUAUCCUCCAACUCACAGGAUACUCUUGUUCAAGCCUCCUUGUGUCAUGAGAUCACAGACAUGAGCCACUAUGUCUGGAUGCAUUUCCAAUCUUGAAAUAGAUUCAGUCAUACAGAUACAGUGCAGAAGUACUACAAAAGUUUCCAUCUAGAGUCUACCUUGAUUGUCAGAAUGUGUACAUCUCCCACAAUUGCUUUUCCAGUCUCUCUCAUAGAUCACAUAAACAGAUUUUUCUUGAAUAAUUUGAGAAUAAAUAGUGGCUUAAAUAUAUUAUUCCUUUAUCCUUUGAAUACUUUAAUGUUUAUGUCUCCCAUGACCAAUGCACAGCCAUCGUAGUCAGGAAUUUAACAUCUGUUCAGUGCUAUCAUGUAGUCUAGAGAUGCUCUUCAAUUUCCCCAAGUUGUCCCAUGAAUUACUUUGCAGUAUCUUUGAAACUUCACAUUAGCUGUUUGAUGCCCUUCCCUGUGGUAUAGCAGCUCUUCUGUGAAUCAGAGUCUGCUCUUUCCAUAGCAGGGUUUCUUACCUAAUGCUUGAUCCUUUAAUACCCUCAUGGUGUGGUGACCCCCAACUGUAAAACUAUUUCAUUGCUACUUUGUAACUGCAAUUUUGCUACUGUUGUGAAUUGUAAUGUAAAAUAUCUUUAUUUUCUAAUGGCCUUAGGUAAGUCCUGUGAAAAGGUCACCCCCACAGGUUGAGAACCAUUGCUAUAUAGUUAGUUUAGGUUCUUUAGAUAAAUUAGCAUCUAGUUGCUUAGAUGGAUGGAGUACUCAUCUUUGAAUCAGACUAGUCAGAAUGUUGUCAAUGUGAGUCCCAUUUCCUUGUGUCUGUACUGAGCUUGGGGAUUUGCCUGACUAAUUUAUCCCUAAGACUGGAGAGUCAGCCCCCAUUCCCAGACUCCAAAUGUCCAGGAGAGAUUCCCCCCUGCAACGUAUUUGAUGGCAGCCUGUUUCUUUCUCUGGUCACAGGGAUGAGGGCUUCCCAUGUUCUCAUUAUGUGAAUUCCAGGAGACAAUACAGUGUUUAGGGGAGGGGCCAAGUCACUUCUUGACAUCAUGAAUUUUAUUGGAAUGAGCUACUAGGGAAAUAUUAGAGUAAAAUCUACUUUCAAUUCAACUUGGCUCAUCUUUUCCUACUGCUUUACUAAUCAAGCUAAUACUAAGUGUCCUCUAGGAAAGACAAAAUAAUCUUGGGUCCUGUUAAACUAGGGGAUAUAUUAAAUAAGAAGAUAGGACAGGUACAGGGUAUAUAUCUUAUUUGUAUACAGCAGCAGACAUUUUUGUUUGUUUUUUGUUUAUUUUUUCCAAAUAGGAAUUCUCUGUGUAGCCUUGUCUGUCCUGGAACUCACUCUGUAGACCACGCUAGCCUUGAACUCAUAGAUCCACCUGCCUAUGCCUCCCAAGUGCUGUGAUCAAAAGUGUGUGCCACCACUGCUCAGCAACAUUUUUUUUUUAAAUAGUGUGAUAAAACUACAAACUUUCUGUUAUCAGGUCUUCUUCCUCUUUCUCCCUUCCUUUCUUUCUAUUUUUUAUUUUUCUCCCUUCCCCCUCCUUCCUCUCUUCUUUUCCUCCCUCCUUCUUUCCCUCUGCUUUUUUACAAAGUGACCUAGCUAGCUUGGGAAUUCAACCUUGAGUCGAUUAGCCAGGCAAAUAAACAAAUACAGUAGGAUACAGAUGCAGGUGGAUAUGUCUGCAAGCACUUGUUUGGGUGAGAGGGGCUCUGAGCAUACCGGCUGGCCGUCUCCCAACAUUGACCAUCCUUCAAGUAUAGCUGACACCGUUUUGCCUCAAGCAAGGUCAGAGCACCAGGAACAGAAACAGAGGGCCAUUGUUCUCACAGAGGCACUGGCCAGUGGGCUCUGAUCUGCAGCUGUGUCUUGGCCUCCCAUGGUGGUAGCACUAAGCAGGGCCUUCUGAGGCAGCCAUCCGUCCUCUCUGGUUAGUCAUCUUCCUCCCACGAACCUGAUUUCUAGAGGGUGUCUUAUUUUGACUUUGGGGAAACUCUUCAAUCCUGAGACUAUGAGGACUCUAAAUCUUCUCUUUGUACAAAUUGCCUUUAAAUUAGAAGUUACUUGGCCUGUGGUGAGAAUGUUGCCUGGAACUAAAGGCUUCUCGAGAGUGAUGAUUGAUGACAGUCCAGUAAAGUCAGAGUGUGGAGCCAGGGCGUCACGCCAGCGCCAUCCCAAGCAGGAGUGUGGACAUAUUUACCCAAUGCAAAAAAAGUUUCUACAAAUUGGAAGAUUUUGCAGAGAUGACAUGUUUUUAAAAGCUUCCUGUACUAUUAGUCAAAAGAAAUGAAAAGCAAGCUUUAUUACGCCUAUGUUGAGAGAAACUUAUUACAUUUGAAUUUCGGCUUAGUUACACACAUUUUUUGCCCUGAUUGUAAAUGAAGUUCCAAUGGUUUAAGAUUUUAAGCAGUUCUAUACGUAAUCCAUUCUUGGGAAAAAAAUAAAUAUACCUUUAAAUGAAAAGUUCUUAAUUACCAAAAGAUUCUAUAAGGAAAACAAUCAGGGGGAAAUUUUGGUCAUUAUUUGUUCAUUUAUUUUUCUUAUUGAGUUAAUUUAAUUAUCAGCGAGACGCAAACAUUAGCUUCAGUGCGGGGCUUCUCACAUCUGUUAGUAAAGAUUUGAUUAGGGCUACACAAAUGUGCUAGAUUAAACUAUCUAGUUGGUGAAAUUCAAGCCACCUGGAUAUUUUAGCAACAUCAAUAAGAAUAAUUCUCUUUUUCCAAAUCAGUAAAUCCAAGCUAUAUUAAAAAGAAUUAAUUAAUGAGUGCCAGAUAGGCAAAGCAAACAUGUGACAAUGAGCUAGAUUAUCAAAGGUUUUGAGGGAGAUCCUUCUUAGCUUAUGUUUAGAUGUCAAAUUAUAUUACCAAAAACCAAACAAUCUGUUAAAAUGAUGCCUUAAUGCAAUAAGUCUCUCAUGGUGUUUUUAAACUUCUUAGACAUUCUUAGUAGAAAAGGGUUCUAUUUACAAAUAAUAACCAAACCAUAAGACAUUUGCCUCCACAUUUUACCUUAGUUAUUUCCAAGAGCUGUUAAUAUCAUUUAAAUCCUAACAAGAACAGAAAAGAAACUAUUAUGGAGUUCUGUUAAUGCAUUCUCUUGAACUUUGCCUUGGAGAAAGAACAUAGUAAAGAUAGAAGGAGUGGAUAGAUUAAUAUAUACAGAAAAGAAUUCUACAGCCAAAGGAACAGAAUUGUCAAGUAAAGAAAUAGUUACUACCUUACCAUUCUUAUUCUAUCCAUGGGCACAUAGUACAUAUUUUAGUUGAUGUGCACUAAUGAUUUCUGUUACAACUACUGAAUAUAUGACUUGUAGCCAUAGUGGAUAUGAUUGUGUUCCAAUAAAACGUUAUGUUCAAAAGUAUAGUGGAUUCGGCCCACUCACAGUAUCCUAAGGAUCCCUCGUGAAAUCCACAUUCUGUAUUUUAAGGAUCAGAAACCUUACGCCUCUUUUAGGAAAACCACUUACUUGCCCCAGGUUCGAUAGACAUCAAAUUCAAAUGUAAUCGGUUGAGCUGCAGCUGAAUCUGGCCCUUCCAGUAUCCAGGCGAGCAUUCAUCCUAGGAUGAAUUAAUUAUAAUGACAUGUGGAUGGUUGGCUCCCUCCAAAUGUAAGCUCUGCCUUCCUUGUAAAGCACAUCUGAAAUGCUUCGUGCAUUUGAUGUGGACAGGACUGGGAUGUGUAGAUGAUUCCCGGAAUCUCCAGAGAAUAAGAUGCUUUUCAGGGACCUAAGCAGAAUCACAAAUAAUAAUUUUGGGGAAAGAAACACGAACAUCCUGACAGCUAACCAAGCAUGAAAAUGUUUGACUGCAAAGCCACACAUGGCUUGCUUUAUUAAAGACCAUCUCAGUCCUGGAAAAGUGCGCUUCUAUUGAAUAUUUAUAACAAAUAUGAUUGAAUAAGAAGAAUUUAAAGUGGGAAAAAAAAGCCCUGUGUGUUGGGACUCUAAAUUAAAUCUUAUUUUCAUGGUUGACAGUGUUUUGUAUUCCCCAGGUUUGCUUUAUAUAAAGAACCAUCCUUACCCAUUCCAUCCUGCCCCAUUACGGCAAUGAGUAACAAGACUUCUCCAUUAACACUUCAGGCACCAGCAUCCAUUUUCUGGUGGGAUUUCUCCUUGCACAGAACUCCUUCUGUUCAUGUGGAAGUGUUGAAGACCGGAGUUCUAAGAAUACCGAGUGGGAUCUGUGCUCAGUCUUCAUGUGAGGAAGCUUAGUAAUCACAGCUCUAAAGCCUGACAGUCCAGAAAGACAUGAUUGAUGAGAGGCUAUGCAAUGUUGGAGUCAAAAUGCACCAUCAUUAACUACCCAAACCAAGAGAAUGAAACGGGGUUUCCCAGGGGCAGCAGAACACAUUCUUCUCGGAAAUACAGGCCUAACAUUUAGGAUAUGUUUGACCAAAGGCGGCUGGGGGAGUGGAGGGAGCCAUUACUUAAUGGUUCCCAGCUUGCAAAGGUGAAAUGACCCCCACACUAUGUCUCUCUCUCUCUCUCUCUCUCUCUCUCUCUCUCUCUCUCUCUCUCUCACACACACACACACACUUCCAUUUCAGUUCAGGUCCGAUGUAUAUUUCUUGACAUCACACAGUUGUAGGUUAUUUCUUCUCAUAUGCCAUGUACUUCCUGGUCCUGAAAUUUAUUAGCAAGAUUCCCUUACAAUAAAAAUAGAGUUUCACUACCAUUGCUAAUUUCUAAAAUAGACAAUUUAAGCAAGUUAGAAGUGGAUUCAGCAUACUGCUGGUGACUUUAGCUUGUGUAAACAAAGAAAAUACAUCUCGUGGGGGAUAAAAAUGUUUUGUGUGAAAUCACACAUAGGCCUUUUCACAGUCACUAUAAACAAGUUUUUCAUAUUUAUAUCUGUUAGAACUUAGCAUAUAUGUAACACAAAGGACACAGAAUAUUGUCUAAAACACAAAAUAACUCAAAUACUAUAUAUUUGCAAAGUAUUGUAACAUAUAAACUUUAAAAAAAAAAAGGAAGAAAGAAAGAAAAGCUUUCGAUAAAAGCUCAGCUUUCUCUCCUUCCCCGAAACCUACCAGAUUGCUGAGGUCAAGGAAAACAAAGCCAUGAAUGAUUCAGACAAACACCUUUUGAACUUUCCCCAGGAAGACUUGGGUGUGUGAGAGUUCAGGGCUUUCAAGGAGAUGUGUGCAGGUGGCGGUUUCUCCAGACAUCUUGAAACAGUUUCCAUGACUAGCAAGGAGGCCCUGGCAUCAGAGCGUGGCUUGCGUGAGAGUGAGGGAAGGCCAGUAUGGGAAUGACACACGUGUACUACAUCAGGAGUGCUGCCGACCACCUCAAAGGACAGCAGGGCAGAAACUCAUUAUCCUUCUCUCAGAAGCUGACCCAAAAGGUAGAGAAAUCCACCAAAAAUGCAUUAUUAUUAUUAAUUUACUUCAUUCACUGGAACAAUAUCUGUCCUGGUUUAUAUGAUAAACUAUUAAGAAUUAUCAGACAGAAUACAAUAUUUUAUUAUGCAAGAAAUCAGACGCAUGAUGAACUAUUGACUGUGGGUGGAUUUUAUGGCAAACGUUACCUGCAAGAUUUAACAGAUAUCUGUGAAUUGUUAGUAAGUGAAAAUUUUGGUUGAGCCAUUGGAACUACUCUUGCUUAUGGACUAAAUAGUCCGAAGUGAGUUUCUAAGACUUUGUAGUUUGUAAUUUUACAACCACCUUGUUUCUUGCUUCGUGUUAUAUUCUUAGUCCCUGCCCCAUAAUGUUUGUUCUCUGAAGUAUCUUAGGCACCCUUAAAUUUCUUUUUAGAACUAGAAAGAGUUACACAGAGUGUGAAUUUUAUACAGUUAUGGAAAUUUGGAGAUGUUAUCAUUCACUGAUAGGCACAAAUUAUAAGAAAAGCUGAAGUCAUUAGCCAAAUAAAGGAUUAGAGUUAACAAUGGACGUGAACCUAGAGUAUAAUUAAUGAAUUCUCUAAUUGCUCUUCCUGUGUUAGUUCAUUAAGCCUGACUCUCGGCUGGAUAUGCGGGCAUCUGUCUCCAGCAUCUGUCGCCUCAAUGAUGCCGCAGGUUGACUCUAUUGGAGCCCUGUGAAGGAGGCUGCGGCUGCCUUUCUUCCCUCUGCGUUUCACCCAGCAAUCCGAACCUGCAGUUCAAACAAAAACCUUUCUUUCAUACAUUAAUACAACAGGCAGAACCACCCUGAGAGAGGUUUAACCAGCUCAAGACUUACAUGGGAAGACUAGAGACUGAUCAAACUUGACUAAUGUCAGACAGAUCUUUAGCUUGUCAGUGCCUAGCCUUGUGCCAUCUUUAGGAACAGAGCUUACUGACAGGAAAGUGAAUGGGUACAUAUCUGCUCAGACAGAUGGACAUUCCUGGCACCACAGGAAUUUUAUUUGGGGAAUUUUAUUUGGGGAAACAAGAACUUCAAGGUCACUGUGUGGUCUGUACCACAUGACCCUCCCCAACAAGAAGAGUCUAAAUUGUGCUAGAGAUUAAAAGCAUGGAGAAGACAUGUUUAUCUUGGUCCUUUCAUCUGUCUGUCCGUCCUUCCUUCCUUCCUUCCUCCCUCCCUCCCCCCUCUCUCUUUCUUUCUUCCUUUCUUUUCCAGUAGACUUUAGUGGACUCGUGCUCUGGAUAACACAUGUAUACCUGGAGGAGUAGGAAGUCCUAGAGGGCAGAGUCACAGAAAGAAGACACAGGUUUGACUCAAGCAGACACAGCAUCUCCUUCUUAUUCCAUAGGGGUGGACACAUGGAAUUUAGCUGGAUGGAUAAACCACUCUUCUUUCUGUGAUCUGGGAGUCACAACCUCUUCUUCAAGUUGCUAAAGAAGAUAACUUUUUGAGAAUAUCUGAGUGCCUGGUUAAUCCAGAAGACCCCAUGGCAUCCUCUUCUGAGUAAAGUACACUUGAACAGCUUCAUUCACUCGCUCAACACAUCUUUGAAAUGUUCUGUGGGCAUGCCACUAUGAAGAGGGUAAAGUAGAGGACAGGAGAGAGUGGUCCUUGUUGUUCUGGAACUCAACUGAAGGAUGAGGUGAGUUCCACAGUAGCCCCAGCUGAAAGGAUAGUGUCUCCCUGAGGGUGGGGGGAGGGACAGGAACAAGGGGUAUUCUGAUGUAAUCUACUAGACCCUAGAUUGGCAGGAUAGAGCUGAGACUUAGAAGAGUGGCGAAGAACCUGGGGUUUAUAGAACAAAAAAACCCAGGGAGGAGAGAAGUCCUGUAGGGGAUGCGGAAGUCAGCCUUACAAAGAAAAAACUGUGGGAUGGAGAGCAAGGUGCCACAGCCUCCUGCUACUCCUCGAAGAGUCCUGAUCUGCCCUAGGUGGCAUUAGAUCUAAGAUGGCUCCCAGAACACUGGUGAGACAACAUAAAGGAACUGAGGCACAGGGUGGUGGCUGCUUCCCCCAUCUUCAUGGAACAUGAAGACAGAUGACAAUGCUCUCUAUCCCUUGCUCCUUAUGAGUUACCUCAUCAGGCAGGGUUUCCAUUGGGGCACGAUGAAGGUGUGGUGAGAUACAAUUGGCGGAGCACGUAGGGGCCUGGGAUUGGCUCAAACAUUGUAUAUAAGCUUAUGUGCUGGGCAAUAAACUCAGAUCUGCACCUG
Mus musculus (house mouse) is the source of this 10401-nucleotide long non-coding RNA. RefSeq annotates it as predicted gene, 46663. The record is from RefSeq and is a predicted model, not a curated record. NCBI's taxonomy places the organism in Eukaryota, Metazoa, Chordata, Mammalia, Rodentia, Muridae. The transcript is spliced from 2 exons.